CCUGCCUGUCAGACUGCCAUACCUCCGGCAAACCGGCCCUAAUACCGGAUGGUUGUUUGAACCGCAUGGUUCAAACAUAAAAGGUGGCUUCGGCUACCACUUACAGAUGGACCCGCGGCGCAUUAGCUAGUUGGUGAGGUAACGGCUCACCAAGGCAACGAUGCGUAGCCGACCUGAGAGGGUGAUCGGCCACACUGGGACUGAGACACGGCCCAGACUCCUACGGGAGGCAGCAGUAGGGAAUCUUCCGCAAUGGACGAAAGUCUGACGGAGCAACGCCGCGUGAGUGAUGAAGGUUUUCGGAUCGUAAAGCUCUGUUGUUAGGGAAGAACAAGUACCGUUCGAAUAGGGCGGUACCUUGACGGUACCUAACCAGAAAGCCACGGCUAACUACGUGCCAGCAGCCGCGGUAAUACGUAGGUGGCAAGCGUUGUCCGGAAUUAUUGGGCGUAAAGGGCUCGCAGGCGGUUUCUUAAGUCUGAUGUGAAAGCCCCCGGCUCAACCGGGGAGGGUCAUUGGAAACUGGGGAACUUGAGUGCAGAAGAGGAGAGUGGAAUUCCACGUGUAGCGGUGAAAUGCGUAGAGAUGUGGAGGAACACCAGUGGCGAAGGCGACUCUCUGGUCUGUAACUGACGCUGAGGAGCGAAAGCGUGGGGGAGCGAACAGGAUUAGAUACCCUGGUAGUCCACGCCGUAAACGAUGAGUGCUAAGUGUUAGGGGGUUUCCGCCCCUUAGUGCUGGAACUAAGCAUUAAGCACUCCGGCCUGGGGAGUACGGUCGCAAGACUGAACUCAAAGGAAUUGAGGGGGGCCCGCACAGCUGUGGGAGCAUGUGGUUAAUUCGAAGAACGCGAAGAGCUUACCAGGGCUUGACUUCCUCUGGAAAUCUUAGAAGUAGGACGUCC
This 904-nucleotide ribosomal RNA is filed under the name Bacillus sp. MJAU D0063. RNAcentral describes it as "bacterial SSU rRNA". It matches the Rfam family "Bacterial small subunit ribosomal RNA", at positions 125 to 1016 of the family's 1533-position model. Lineage: Bacteria; Bacillati; Bacillota; Bacilli; Caryophanales; Bacillaceae. The record is from RNAcentral.